This 404-nucleotide ribosomal RNA is filed under the name Salmonella enterica. Its description in RNAcentral is "partial 23S ribosomal RNA". Lineage: Bacteria; Pseudomonadati; Pseudomonadota; Gammaproteobacteria; Enterobacterales; Enterobacteriaceae. The record is from RNAcentral.
CUGUCUGAAUAUGGGGGGACCAUCCUCCAAGGCUAAAUACUCCUGACUGACCGAUAGUGAACCAGUACCGUGAGGGAAAGGCGAAAAGAACCCCGGCGAGGGGAGUGAAAAAGAACCUGAAACCGUGUACGUACAAGCAGUGGGAGCACAGGUUUACCUGUGUGACUGCGUACCUUUUGUAUAAUGGGUCAGCGACUUAUAUUCUGUAGCAAGGUUAACCGAAUAGGGGAGCCGKAGGGAAACCGAGUCUUAAUUGGGCGUUAAGUUGCAGGGUAUAGACCCGAAACCCGGUGAUCUAGCCAUGGGCAGGUUGAAGGUUGGGUAACACUAACUGGAGGACCGAACCGACUAAUGUUGAAAAAUUAGCGGAUGACCUGUGGCUGGGGGUGAAAGGCCAAUCAAAC